Molecule: long non-coding RNA, 2228 nt
Organism: Larimichthys crocea (large yellow croaker)
Lineage: Eukaryota; Metazoa; Chordata; Actinopteri; Sciaenidae
Exons: 2
Source: RefSeq, a predicted model, not a curated record
AUCUCAAGAGCGCCAAAUAUGGUCACUUCCCAGAGAAUAUAGUACACGAGGAACCAGAAACAGCCAAUGACAUGUACCCCACUCCCUGAGAGAGAGAGAGAGACAGAGAGAAAGAAGAAAGACGAGGAAGGAGGGGGGGUACCAGCAGCCCUGUCUCAUAAGACCCCCUUUCAGGGGCCUCUGUUCUGUCUGCAUACACGACCUGUGUAAAGUAGCCACAACAUUUCCUUUGAACCUGGCCACUGGGAGCCAUUUUUUAAGUAACACAACGCAAAGUUUAAGCAUCCACGACGUUAAUGAAUUAAAAAGGACAAGGAAUAGAAAACACUAUUUUAUCAAUGCUUUAAAAAUUAGGGUUGAUUUGUUCCUUUAAAUUUUCAUACUGGUGUAAUCGCUCACUUGGUUUGUGUGCUGAAGAAAAGACAUCGUCUAAAAACACUCAUUUCAAAAGUAUAAACGUAUGUAGGCCAAAGGUUAAUUACAAAACACAUGAAUACACGAUCAAACGUGUUACAUGCUUUAAAUCUUCUCUCACCUGUAACAUGCAAUCAGGUGAAUUUAAAUGCUUUAAAAGUUUUAUUUAUUUAUUUACUAUUUGGAUCAAUCUGAUUCUUACUUUAAAAAGUUUAAUAUCAAACUCAGCCCUUAGAGACCUCCCUGAAUAAGAACUUCUCUGCCAAUAAAAACACGAUUAAACUGCUCCAAUGUUACGAGCAGCCAACAAUAAUCGCACUUAUUGAAAAUGCUGCAAAUUGUCCAGCUGAUAGGAGUCUUUAAGGCGAGGUCAUGAGGCGGUUUACAGCGGGAUCUUUUAUCUGCCUCUCUCUCUCUCUCUGGCAAAGCAGUGUUUAGAUUACACGCUGUUUUACUAUUAAAACCCCCCGAUUCAUUGAUAAAAACAAACACACACACACACACAGAGAAAGAAGAGACGCGCGGAUGAGGAAGACGCCCAUAAUGUUGCUCCUAUCUCGAUGUAGACUAGAAAAGAGACUUCUUAGCGUCGGCGGCUAAUUUGUUUACGUUCAGGCUGCAGCGCCGUGUGUGUGUGUGUGUGUGUGUGUGUGUGUGUUGUUUUUAAGUGUGUGUCUGUCGCCAUGAGAGGCCUAGCUGCGCUCACAGGGCCAAUCCUGCUACUCCCAGUUUAGACUCGCUGCAGCAGACCACACUCGUCCAGUAACAGCGACUAAUCUGGCCCUGGGGCUGCCGGAUCCAAACCCAGGCCGCUAAAAUAUAUAUAUUUAUAUACAUAUCUAUAUAUGCACCUUUUAAAAAGACAACACGAGGGGAAGAGGGUGGGCGGUGAUAUUACCCAAUAACUGUACGGAGGAGUAUCAGCCGCUCAUACGCAACAACUGAAAUUACUCGCCCCUUAAUUAGAGCCCGUGUGAGAGUUUACGCAUGCGCAAAGAAGGAAGGUCCCGUGACUAAAAAACAAAAAAAUUACAAUCUUAAUUGAUAAAACAAAGAUAAUAAAAAAUAAUCACGCUGUUUUAUGAGCGCUCUUUAUCUCCAUGCUAUGUCACAGUAGUUAAGACAGACGGGAGCACAUCCCAGGAAACUCCUCCGGAGCAGCUACGUGCAGGGAAAACGUGCAGCAGCUUCUCCUCCUACUACGACCUUCCUCUGAACUCCUUCACCCCCGCUGACCACCACCACCACGCCGCAAACGACGAAUGAAGACCCAUAAAACGACUCGGGGAGGAGGCGGAGGAGGAAAGAAAGAAAGAAGAAAAACAAAGAACUUGGAGAGGGUGAAAUUAAAAAAAAAUAAUAAAUUAAAAGAAAAAAUAAAAGGUUACUUCGUUUCCAUCCACUGUUGAAACAGAGGAGGGAAGAAAACAGCCGCUCUGUUUGGACACGUUGGGUCUGAAGUGAGAAAACUCUCCACCAACACCACCACCACCACCACCACCACGCCGCCCGUCUCUUUUUCUCAGAUUAACGUUAGCUGAUGGAGGAGGAGGAGGAGGAGGAGGGUGGAGAGAGGAGGAGGAGGAGGAGGAGGGGUGAAACGGCUAACGUUAGCUAGCUAAUCCAAAACAAACGAGGUUUCGGUGUCGGCGAUAGAGUCAAACAAAAAAAUAAAAGAGAAAAGCCCACACAGACGCGCGCGGAGUCCGUAUCCCGUUUCCGAUUGUGUAAAAAAAAAACAAGCGAUGAGGUAAACAAACACGAAAAGACUCCAAAAAGAAAAGAGACGGGUCAAGUGUAAAAAAAAAAACUUG